AUGGGAACGCGAAGAACCUUACCUAGACUUGACAUCUUCUGCAUUAAUCGUAAUGGAUGAAAUCCCUUCGGGGACAGAAUGACAGGUGGUGCAUGGUUGUCGUCAGCUCGUGUCGUGAGAUGUUGGGUUAAGUCCCGCAACGAGCGCAACCCCUAUUAUUAGUUGCUAACAUUAAGUUGAGCACUCUAGUGAGACUGCCCGGGUUAACCGGGAGGAAGGUGGGGAGUGACGUCAAAUCAUCAUGCCCCUUAUGUCUAGGGCUACACACGUGCUACAAUGGUGGGAACAAAGAGAUGCAAUACCGCAAGGUGGAGCUAAACUCAAAACCCCAUCCCAGUUCGGAUUGUAGGCUGAAACUCGCCUACAUGAAGCUGGAGUUGCUAGUAAUCGCGAAUCAGAAUGUCGCGGUGAAUACGUUCCCGGGUCUUGUACACACCG
This 438-nucleotide ribosomal RNA is filed under the name uncultured bacterium. RNAcentral's name for it is "bacterial SSU rRNA". It matches the Rfam family "Bacterial small subunit ribosomal RNA", at positions 954 to 1392 of the family's 1533-position model. The record is from RNAcentral.